GGGAUGAUGAUGGGGAAACCAUGGUUUCACUUCCUCUAUUGUAUGUUGGAUUGUUAGGACUGUUUUGGGACAGGUUGAUAUGUAAACAUAUUGGGGACUGCUUGGUUGAUGUCUGGGAAGGGUGUAAAUUGUUGAUAUUGAAAUAUAGCUGUGUAGUGUACAAAUGCAAUAAAAGAAAGCGGGGUUGAAAGAACACCCUUAGUUUGGUAAUUACGGGUUUGCUGCCCGAGCAUUAUUGUUGAGUGAGAUUGGACUGCCUAAGCAUGUUUAGUAACUACUAAAAAUACUAGUUUAUCACCUAUUUUAUUGUAGAUAAGUAUUUGAAAAGAAAGGAGGUACUUCAAGGUAACUACAAGGUGGUACAACAAGGUAUGUAAGGGUUUUCGAUUUCCUACUAAUUGGCAUGAAAUCUAGACUCGUCCUCGACACAUAGAGGAAGCCUACCAGGUCCAACACGACUUAUAACCUUGUUCUCACUCUUUAACAUGUCUGCACGUUCCAAUACAUGACAUAUACAUUGAAUACUCUGCAUGAGUUCUCCUUUUAACUAAAUAAGGUCCAUAUUUUAUUUCAGCUCCUAUGCAUUUCACUAAUUGUGUAACUACUCUCUACAUUGUUAUUCUUGCAUUAUAUGAUUAUUACACGUCACUUGUUGACUACAUAGUCC
RNAcentral lists this long non-coding RNA (667 nucleotides) under Solanum tuberosum (potato). RNAcentral describes it as "long non-coding RNA (STUB_LNC004819)". Lineage: Eukaryota; Viridiplantae; Streptophyta; Magnoliopsida; Solanales; Solanaceae. The record is from RNAcentral.